GCGGCAACAGCUCAAAUUUGAAAUCUGGCGCUUCCAGCGUCCGAGUUGUAAUUUGUAGAGGAUGCUUCUAGGCAGCCACCGGUCUAAGUUCCUUGGAACAGGACGUCAUAGAGGGUGAGAAUCCCGUAUGCGACCGGAGAGGCGCCUUAUACGUAGCUCCUUCGACGAGUCGAGUUGUUUGGGAAUGCAGCUCUAAAUGGGAGGUAAAUUUCUUCUAAAGCUAAAUAUUGGCCAGAGACCGAUAGCGCACAAGUAGAGUGAUCGAAAGAUGAAAAGCACUUUGGAAAGAGAGUUAAAAAGCACGUGAAAUUGUUGAAAGGGAAGGGAUUGCAACCAGACUUGCUCGCGGUGUUCCGCCGGUCUUCUGACCGGUCUACUCGCCGCGUUGCAGGCCAGCAUCGUCUGGUGCCGCUGGAUAAGACUUUGGGAAUGUAGCUCCCUCGGGAGUGUUAUAGCCCUUAGUGAUGCAGCGCGCGCCGGGCGAGGUCCGCGCUUCGGCUAGGAUGCUGGCGUAAUGGUCGUAAUCCGCCCGUCUUGAAACACGGACCAAGGAGUCUAACAUCUAUGCGAGUGUUCGGGUGUCAAACCCCUACGCGUAAUGAAAGUGAACGGAGGUGGGAACCGCAAGGUGCACCAUCGACCGAUCCUGAUGUCUUCGGAUGGAUUUGAGUAAGAGCAUAGCUGUUGGGACCCGAAAGAUGGUGAACUAUGCCUGAAUAGGGUGAAGCCAGAGGAAACUCUG
This 742-nucleotide ribosomal RNA is filed under the name Toxicocladosporium cacti. RNAcentral's name for it is "LSU rRNA". It matches the Rfam family "Eukaryotic large subunit ribosomal RNA", at positions 98 to 866 of the family's 3401-position model. The record is from RNAcentral. Lineage: Eukaryota; Fungi; Ascomycota; Dothideomycetes; Cladosporiales; Cladosporiaceae.